This 2800-nucleotide long non-coding RNA is filed under the name Podarcis lilfordi (Lilford's wall lizard). The record is from RNAcentral. Lineage: Eukaryota; Metazoa; Chordata; Lepidosauria; Squamata; Lacertidae.
CCGUUGCUAUAACAGAGUUGAAUCGACCGGGAUUGUCAUUGCAGUCCAUGCGGUGGCACAUAAACCCGCUAUUAAGGCGAAACUUCUCAUACACACCAGGUUUUCUCUCUUUGCAACCAACUGGGAGUUUGUUUCUCUGCAGGAUCUGGCAGCACAAGAAGUUCAAGGCUUUCCUUAAGAGUGAGAGGACCAAAAGCUCAUAGUGUUGAUGCAGGUAACAGUCGGGAAAAGAGCCUUGAUUUCAUUCAUAUCCGAGGGCAGGGCUCGGCCCCUGGGAUUUUUGUAUUGCCUCAGCUUCCUGAUCUCCGGAUGUAGCUGGACUACAACAACUCUCCACCGGCCAGGGAUUAUGGGAGCUGUUUAGUCCAAAUCAUCUGAAGGGCACCAGGUUCAUGAAGCAUGCCCUAAAUAACUUAUCUUCUUCUCUGGGAUGGUCCAUACCCUCUAGGGUUGCCCAAUGCAACAGGUUGUUAGAGUCAACUUCUAUUGUACUUUGCUCCCAGACAGUGAGAUGUGUUGGUGUGUAUGGCACUGGUAGGCAAAAUGAACAACCUUUACUCUAGAUGGGGUAACAUGUGGUUCGUCAGCUGUAGUUGGGACUCCAGCUACCAUCAGCUGCAGCUGGUAUGGCCAUUGUUUAUGAGGAUGGAAGAUGCAGUCUAGCAACAUCUGGAAGGCCACCGGUUCCACAUCCCUGCUCUAGAACAAAGCCACUGAAUUUCAUGGGGCUACUGGAGAGUAAAAAUAAAAGGCUGUCGCUGGAAGACUUGGACCUGGAAAAUCCCUGUACUGGAAAUCCUGUCUAAGUAAAAAUUUCAGGAGGCCUUGAAGUCUUUUCUUCCUCCCCACCCUGCCUAAGCUUUACUGGGAGUAUCAAUGAAUGAGACUUCUUCCAUCCGGUUGUUGUGAUGGUGCAUGAGAUCACUGCUAUAAAGCACUUUGCAGACUUUUGUAACCUUCCACAUCCCCCAAAGUUGGAUGGAAAUUAGUGGAGGACAAGAUCCAAACCAUUUGAUGGCUGUUUUGCUAUACCUUAAAAUUCCCCCUUUCUUUGCUCAUUCCGUAGUAUACUCAUCUGAACCCAGAAUUACUAUUGAUGCCAUUAGCCAUCCAUUUAUUUAUACUCUGUACGCUAAGCACGUUUAGCUGGAAGCAAAACUCAAAGACUUCAGUGGAACUUGCUUCUAAGUACUGUAUAGUACAUGUGCUGUCGAUAGGAGCAUUGCCGAGUUUAUCAGUCCCCCUUGUUCUUAAAGGUUUAAGGUGAAUUUAAAAAGCCCGUCGACUGAAACGUUUCCUGCCAAGCCUCAUCCAAACAGAACCCAUCGCAUUAAUCUGGGUGGAAUUUACGCACGAGAACUUCUCAACGGAUUGCGCUCUGCAUAAAUUGAAGCUCCCAGAUGGAAAGAGUUCUAUAUUAUUAAGGAAGAAGUAGAGAUAUUGUCAAAGCUGUACUUAAAGCUGUGUAACGAACUGAAUGUGUUAAGAGUUAUCCUAUAAAAAGAAAAAUAACUGCUCUCGAGUAAGUGCAUUGUGUUUUGCAGGUUGGGCACUCUGCUCCUAAAUGCUCUCCUAGACACCCCAAGUAAACCCGACUGGCCACAAAUAAAUAUCAGUGGGAUUUAUUUUCAGUUAAAUGGUUUUGGGUCUGGGAAGGAAGACACCGUCAAAUGGAUCUGGAGUAUUAUGGUUUUGACUGUAGGACUGUCGCUGUCCCUUUACUGCCGAUAUUUCUCACCUCAACGAAAAUAAAUGUGUUUUUCAAACUCCAGAUAAUCCCUACAAAGAGUUACUGCUUUAAUAAACAGGAAUUUAAAAAUCUGUGACCUUCUGGUGUAACAGCUUGCUGCAGGCGACCAUAUUUCUAUAAAAAAAUAAUGAGACGGGGUGUGUUCAGAAGUACUGUUACUUCAUCCGCACGUUCAGUUCUUGCAAUGACCGAGGGCGACUAACAGUUCACAGGAAAUAUUGUGGAAUCUCCAUCAAACAUGACAAAAAAACACGAAGUAACCAAAUCUUCCUUUGGAAUGCUUUAAGCGACUAUAAACACACUGAAAACGCGAUGCAACACAAGAUCAACACUGGCAAAGCUGCUAAUUCUCAUAUGACUCAAUCUCGUCUGUUGCUUUACCGCUCUCGUAUGCUGAAAUAAUUUUUAUUUUGAAAUAAACUGUAAUCAGGAUCGGGAAGGAUCAGUUUAACAAGUAUGGAACAUUCUGGAGCUCUGAAAAGACACAACACAUACCUGUCUAAGUACAAGGAGAGUUUAUAUCUGAAAUCCCUAUUGGCUGAAAGUCGGGAUGUAGCUUUGUCUGCAAUCCUGAGUCCAGUUAGGUUUCGAUCCCGUUACCUUCGCUGCUAUUCCAGCAGCCACACUAUUACAUAAUUAAUUUUAACCAACACAUAUUCUGAGUUAAGCAGCACACGAUCACAUCAUAUUUUUAUAUGCCAGACAUUUGUAUCUAUCUAGAAGGUGACACCUUAACUUUUGAUAAAUGGAUGGAUUGCUAUGGCGUUGUUACAGUUGUGCCCAAUCUCCAUUAAUGUACUUAUGUAAAUAAUUAUGGCUGGUGUUGCAAUGCUUAUAAAUCCUAAGGGUGCAUUUUUUAAAGUGACUGGGGCAGGAUGGAUGGUUAGAUGGUUGGGAGAGCAACCCCAUCUCUGGAUGAGGAUGAGGAUGAUUAAUCCAGCCUUUAACCUGAAGGUUCCCAGGGUAGUGCAGAAACAAUUCAUUAAAAUCAAAGCAACUGAAAUCCAUAAAACCAUAUGGCGCCCCUACCUUCCCAGCAGUCAUGGAGCC